Molecule: unclassified non-coding RNA, 217 nt
Filed under: Hevea brasiliensis (rubber tree)
Lineage: Eukaryota; Viridiplantae; Streptophyta; Magnoliopsida; Malpighiales; Euphorbiaceae
Source: RNAcentral
GUACUUUUCUGCUAUGUUGUCUGACCGAUGGAAGCCUCAGAAGGAUGACGAUUCCGGUCCUUUGAGGUUGAGUUUCGGUGUUCCGGCGACUCAGGGUUCCAUGGAUGGCCAUUUGGCUGUUCUUGAGCUUCUGUAUGUUGAUGAUAUGUCGGACGCUAUCCAUAGCGCCAAGGCUGCUUUGGAUCUCCUCCCUGUUGCGCUUAAAUUUCUUUUUGAG